Molecule: transfer RNA, 67 nt
Filed under: Lasioglossum malachurum
Lineage: Eukaryota; Metazoa; Arthropoda; Insecta; Hymenoptera; Halictidae
Description: tRNA-Thr
Source: RNAcentral
GCUAAAAUAGUUUAAAAUAAAACAUUAAUCUUGUAAAUUAAAAUUAAUAAAAUAUUAUUUUUUAGCU